CCACAUCUGAUCCCUUAACCCACAUGCAUAUUGAUAAGGGAUGUUAUUCAGGUCAUACCUAUAUGUAGAACAUACUCCUAGAAAAAUUCUGCCAAUAGUGUGUUUCAAAGGUUAGUACAGCUACAUAAUCCUGUCAAAUUUGAUCCUGUCAACUGCCAGGUGACCACAUCAACUCUGCUCAGGGAAGCAGUCCCAUGUGGAAUCAAGGACAAGGUCUGCAGAGACAAAGGUGACUCAAAGAGCUGAGAUCUCCCUGAAUUCCCUGAAGUUGACAUCACUCUGCCUUCUGGAAGACAGCUCUAUGCGUUUAAGUCCCAGGAAACCACUUCAAAAACCACUGAUGCAGGCAGCAAAGUGAGCCACUGUGGGAGAGUGAGAGAGCCAUGCUGUGCAGAGCUGCUUGGAGAGACUUUGGA
RNAcentral lists this long non-coding RNA (416 nucleotides) under Phascolarctos cinereus (koala). RNAcentral describes it as "lncRNA (ENSPCIG00000033311.1)". Lineage: Eukaryota; Metazoa; Chordata; Mammalia; Diprotodontia; Phascolarctidae. The record is from RNAcentral.